This 494-nucleotide ribosomal RNA is filed under the name uncultured bacterium. Its description in RNAcentral is "bacterial SSU rRNA". It matches the Rfam family "Bacterial small subunit ribosomal RNA", at positions 28 to 523 of the family's 1533-position model. The record is from RNAcentral.
GAUGAACGCUAGCGGGAGGCCUAACACAUGCAAGCCGAGCGGUAGAGAUUCUUCGGAAUCUUGAGAGCGGCGUACGGGUGCGGAACACGUGUGCAACCUACCUUUAUCUGGAGGAUAGCCUUUCGAAAGGAAGAUUAAUACUCCAUAAUAUAUUGAUUGGCAUCAAUUGAUAUUGAAAGCUCCGGCGGAUAGAGAUGGGCACGCGCAAGAUUAGUUAGUUGGUGAGGUAACGGCUCACCAAGACGAUGAUCUUUAGGGGCCUGAGAGGGUGAUCCCCACACUGGUACUGAGACACGGACCAGACUCCUACGGGAGGCAGCAGUGAGGAAUAUUGGUCAAUGGGUGCAAGCCUGAACCAGCCAUCCCGCGUGAAGGACGACUGCCCUAUGGGUUGUAAACUUCUUUUGUAUAGGGAUAAACCUACCCUCGUGAGGGUAGCUGAAGGUACUAUACGAAUAAGCACCGGCUAACUCCGUAGCCAGCAGCCGCGGUAA